UAUUUUGACUAUACAAAGGUAUUGUAAUAAGACUUUAAUUGAGUGCUAAAAGAAUGGACUUUCAAAACCCCACUUUUUUAAAUUUAAAAAUUAAAGUUAUUUUUAUUUGUGAAGAAACAAUAAUAAAAAUUAAAGACAAGAAGACCCUAUGAAUUUUAAUUAAUUUAUUAUUAAAUUUAAUAAUAAAUUAAUUUAAUUGGGGCGAUUAAAAAAAAUGAAAAACUUUUUGCUUUAAAAAAUGAUCCAUUAAUAAUGACUUUAUGGAAAAAAUACUCUAGGGAUAACAGCGUAAUAAUUUUAGAUAGAUCUUAUAGAAAAAAUAGUUUGCGACCUCGAUGUUGGAUUAGGAUACUUAUUUAAUGAAGAAGUUAAAAAUAAGAAGUUUGUUCAACUUUUAAAAUCC
Molecule: ribosomal RNA, 403 nt
Filed under: Haemaphysalis pentalagi
Lineage: Eukaryota; Metazoa; Arthropoda; Arachnida; Ixodida; Ixodidae
Description: partial 16S ribosomal RNA
Source: RNAcentral